AACUUUCAACAACGGAUCUCUUGGUUCUGGCAUCGAUGAANAACGCANCGAAAUGCGAUAAGUAAUGUGAAUUGCAGAAUUCAGUGAAUCAUCGAAUCUUUGAACGCACAUUGCGCCCCUUGGUAUUCCGAGGGGCAUGCCUGUUCGAGCGUCAUUA
RNAcentral lists this ribosomal RNA (157 nucleotides) under Sticta nylanderiana. Its description in RNAcentral is "5.8S rRNA". It matches the Rfam family "5.8S ribosomal RNA". Rfam says of the family: 5.8S ribosomal RNA (5.8S rRNA) is a component of the large subunit of the eukaryotic ribosome. It is transcribed by RNA polymerase I as part of the 45S precursor that also contains 18S and 28S rRNA. Functionally, it is thought that 5.8S rRNA may be involved in ribosome translocation. Lineage: Eukaryota; Fungi; Ascomycota; Lecanoromycetes; Peltigerales; Lobariaceae. The record is from RNAcentral.